GAUGAAGAACGCAGCGAAAUGCGAUAAGUAAUGUGAAUUGCAGAAUUCCGUGAAUCAUCGAAUCUUUGAACGCACAUUGCGCCCGCCAGUAUUCUGGCGGGCAUGCCUGUUCGAGCGUCAUUACAACCCUCAGGCCCCCGGGCCUGGCGUUGGGGAUCGGCGGAAGCCCCCUGCGGGCACAACGCCGUCCCCCAAAUACAGUGGCGGUCCCGCCGCAGCUUCCAUUGCGUAGUAGCUAACACCUCGCAACUGGAGAGCGGCGCGGCCACGCCGUAAAACACCCAACUUCUGAAUGUUGACCUCGAAUCAGGUAGGAAUACCCGCUGAACUUAAGCAUAUCAAUAAGCGGAGGA
Molecule: unclassified non-coding RNA, 353 nt
Filed under: soil metagenome
Description: partial contains 5.8S ribosomal RNA, internal transcribed spacer 2, and large subunit ribosomal RNA
Rfam family: 5.8S ribosomal RNA (bases 1-120)
Source: RNAcentral